AACAAUCUAGGUUAAGUUAAGACUAUCUGUCUUCAAAACAGGGGGUGAUGAUGAUUUGUCGUUUGUUG
This 68-nucleotide transfer RNA is filed under the name Opisthorchis felineus. Its description in RNAcentral is "tRNA-Trp". Lineage: Eukaryota; Metazoa; Platyhelminthes; Trematoda; Opisthorchiida; Opisthorchiidae. The record is from RNAcentral.